UAGAGGUCUGAGGUUUCAUCUGUAGCACUUAGGACACCCCACACACACACAUCGUCCCCGAAAGUCCCCGGUGUGCAAGAGCAGCAGCGCUGCUUCCCAAUGAUGGUGACACAUGGCAGCAGUGCGGGGGCACCUGGUGAGGGACAGGACACCUGGCAGACGCAUGGAGCAAGGCACAGGGCUCUUUCAUUGACGUUCAUGUGAAUUGACGUGUUGAUCCUCCAGGAGAUAAGUCAGAUACACGUUUCCGUUUCUGUAAGCGUGAACUAAAGAGAAUGAACUGAGUGCCUUGUGGGUUUAUACACCUUGAAUUUAAAGCCUGUCACGCAGAGGAAGAGGCACUUUGAGCUUCUCUGCUGUCAGGGUGAAGACCUUGCUGGUGGCUUGGCGCUGAGACAUAAACUGAGUGUUGUAUUAUGGAUGGGGACCUGAGGAGCCUGCUGGCUGGAGGAAAGCAGGAGGACUUGCUGGUGGAUAACCAUUUCUCACCAGCAUUUAACUCCUCUACAUCUUAUGAUAACAUGUACUACCCUGAACUGGACAUUGACUGUGGAUUUGAAGGUAUUCCAGAAUUUGCAUCUUCAUUUUUUCCAGUGCUGUACUCCAUACUGUUUGUGAUUGGCUUCGUAGGAAACGCUUUGGUUGUUUGGGUCCUAACAGCCUUCAAGAAAAUCAGGGCCAUGACUGAUGUGUAUCUGCUGAACCUCGCCAUCUCUGACCUCGUCUUCGUCUUCUCCCUCCCUUUCCUGGCUCAGUACUCCCUGGGGAGCCAGUGGACUUUUGGCAACGCCAUGUGUAAAACUGUCAGCUCUGCUUACUUCAUUGGUUUCUACAGCAGUGCGUUCUUCAUAACCAUCAUGAGCAUUGACAGGUACUUGGCCAUUGUGCACUCUGUGUAUGCCCUGCAGGUCCGGACGACCACCCAUGGAAUUAUCGCCAGCCUGGCACUGUGGGCGGUGGCCAUCUUAGCAUCAGUGCCAGACCUCGUGUUCAUCCAGGAGAAAGUAGAUGAUGAUAACAGGACACUGUGCACCCAUAGCUACCCUGGCAGUGGUAAUGGCUGGAAGGUCUUCAGUAAUUCUGAAGUUAACAUCCUGGGGUGGCUGUUCCCUGUGAGCAUUCUCAUUUUCUGCUACCACAACAUCCUGAGAAACCUGCAGAGGUGCCAUACUCAGAACAAGUACAAAGCAAUGAAAUUGGUUUUUAUCGUUGUCAUUGUGUUCUUCCUUUUCUGGACCCCUAUCAAUAUCGCGCUCUUCCUGGACUCUCUGAGGAGCAUGCAUAUCAUCGAUGACUGCCAGACUAGCCAGAGGCUUGACCUGGCCCUGGAGCUGACCGAGACACUCUCCCUCAUGCACUGCUGCCUCAACCCCAUCAUCUAUGCCUUUGUUGGGGAGAAGUUCAAGAAGUAUCUGUGUGAGGCUUUUGGCAAAUAUGCCCAUUUUCUCUUGAUCUGCAAAGGACACAGUGCCUUCAACAGACGCAACACGGACAGACACACCUCUCUGUACACAGCAUCCUCACAGUCCUCUUUUGUUGGUAGCAUCUUGUAGAGGUGCAAGGCAAAAGCACCAUAUUUUAGACUUCAUUUGAAACUGAGAAGUCAUCCCAGUAAUUCAAUAAAAAUAGUCUUUCUGUUUCCUUGUAGGUGGAGGUUUCGGUGCAAUGGCCUGUUAGCAAAGUAAGACUAGGAAAUCACACAAUACCAGAGCAAGCUGUACUGUACCUUGCUCUUUCAUGUGCUCUGACACCAUUCUGAACAGUGACUGUCCCAUGGUUAGCAAUUGUGAAUGAGAACUUCAGACACUAAAAAUGACAUUGUGAAAUUCAUCAGGCACCCCCUGCCCACUGGCUGAAUAGUUUACCAAUGACUUUUGUCUCCAUCACAGGGAAGUAUGGGGAUGUACUGUUCAGGCAACCUUUUAGGACAAGAGGUAUCAGAAAAGUAGAAUCAUUUGCUUAAGCUUGCUUGUAUUGUGGUUCUCUUUGUGAUUCUUAUUUUUUAGCUCCUUUUUUAUCAUCUUCCUCCCUUUCCUGUAGCCCAUCUGACUUUGUGGAAGUGAGGCUGAAAAACUACCAGCAGGCUGCACAAAGGACAAAGAGAUGUGCCUUGUCCCUCCAGCACAGGACACAUGGUCCUCCAGUAUCCCUAAUGAAGUGAUGAAAACCUUGAAGGAUGGGAAGGCACAGCCUCUCUAUGCAAUAAGGUGUCGAGUUCACACCUAGGUAUUCCUCCACCUAGAUGUUGACAAAACACUUGUCUAAUAUUUAUCUUUUUUUAAUGCUUAUUUAAUUCUGCCUCCUGAGUGAGCUGCCCCUCUGAGGGAGACAGUUCAUUAUGGACUACUUGAAGAGCUGGCUGCAACAGCCAUCUUAAAAGAAGAUGCCAAAUGUGUCCAUUGAAACAGGAUAUCACCCAAUUUGAAGUUUUAUAUUAUAAAGAUGCUUCCUGCAGUGUAAAUGCACAAUCCUGGCACCUGAAGAACUUCCCUGUCCUAUCACUGCGUAUCUCAUUUUCCUGUGUCCUGGCAGAUUCACAUAACCAACCAUUCUCCUCACCACCUCCUCUCUCUUCCUCCCUCUUCCCCCCUCUUCCCUUCUCCCUGGGAGAGAGAGACUGAGAGCAGGUUGUCUUCUAGCAAUUCAGCCUACCCUGGUAGUAUCCCCAUACCUUUUAAGUACCCUUGAGGUUAUUUCCUAGAGAAGAUAGAACAAAACCCAGAAGACAAUUCUCUUCAGCUGCUGAUCUUCAGAUAGUGUUCAUUUUAAUGUGCAUCCAUAUUGGUGAUCUGCAAAAUGCAGCCUUUUGCAAGAGCAGGUUGAUAACAGUGUGUAUGACAAGUAAUGUUCCUUCAUGUGGGCAGUGACAGAUUCCCCAAAUGAUAAAACAGACUGUGAACAAAAGAUGGGGUUUAACCACUUCCUUGAUGCCAGCUCUGUGCUGCACCUCCUGCCAUUCAGGCAACUUGCUACCCUUGGUCAACACACCUCUUUUUGUUUAUGUGCAAGCAUUUAAAUGCCCAAGAAUGGGUUUCAUAGAAAUUGAGGUUGAAGCUGAAAUGUGCUGGACAGGAUGCCAGCACCAGCUCUCUUUGUCCUAUGGAGGUUUGUAGUAGUCGCCCUCUAGACCAUACCUUGCUCAUAGCACACGGAUGGCAACAACCUCUGCUUUCCCACAGCACACAUUUGUGUAUGUGCACUACUGCAUCCAGCAGUAGAGGAUUCUGCAACACUUACUUGCAGACAGAGACCUUCCUUGCAUGACCCAGCUCACCCCCUAGCAGCUGGCACACUCAUUCAGUUUCCAUCACAUCACUGCAGGAAAACAGCAGCACCUUCAAAUGACAGAAUUAUGGGAAAGGCAGAAUCAUUUCCAUCCCUUCUCACUGCCUACACUCUCUAUCUGCCCACACUACCACUGUGCCGCCCUUCAGAGCCAUACCUCCUUGAUACCCACAGACAAGCAGGCUCAGGGGUUGGGUAUCUGCAUUGGAAAAAAGCCUCUUUAGUUACAGGAGGUUCCUUUAUUUGUCAAAUGUUUGUCCUCCAUUUCCAUGUUUUCCCCUUCCUCCUCUACAUACAAACAAAGCAUGGAGAAACCUCAACCCUACUAACACAUGUCUUGUCCAGCCUCUGCACAGCAGGUUUUGCAGUCAGAUCUGAAAUGGACAUCAUUUGCAAUAGUACAGAGCAGCCCCUGCCCUAUGCAAAAGCAGGAAGGAGAUCUUUCUUUCAGUGGGUUAACCUGCGGCCUAAAAGGGAUCCAAGCCAUGUAGAUGAAGAGCAAAAUAUAAAGCUGUGUGGAGGUGCAGCUUAGGCAUGGUAACCAAAAUGAGAGGUGCACAGAUUGCAGUGAGGCUGUGCCGCAGAGCAGAAAGGUGUGAGGAGAGGACAACAGUGUGCAGCUCACCCUGGGUGUUGGGGUUUCUUUGUUCUGGGAUGUGCUGUGUUUGUGUGAUACGCUCCGAGGUGACUGUGAACAUUUAGAUCUGUGCAAUAUUUGUUUGGUUUUCUAACACUCAGUGGUCAUCCUGUAAAGAGAUGUACCACAGGGGCUCAGGAAAUGGUUGAUUUCUAUUAAUGCACUGAUGGUAAAAGGUGUUAGUAGUUUUAAGCGAGUCUUGAGGAAAGAAACCACUCAAACACCUACAGUGCCUCCAUGGUGCUCCUGCAGCCUGUCUUCAGCUGCUCAGGUGAGCUGAUAUGUUCUCUGUGCUCUUCCUUUGCAUCCUCCCAGCUGGAACUCCACAGUCUAGCAAAAAUGGGCUCAUUUUGCUGUCACUACAAUUUUAAUUGCUGGUGCUGAUUGAGAUGUCAUGCUGGAGGUCACCAGCAGCCAAGUCAUGAAGGAGCUGGUAGAUGCUGAGUACUGUGGGUCUUCACCAAAACUCUCUGUGUUUUGACAGGGGGAUGCUUUGCUCCUUGCACACAGCUCUCUGCAGCACUGAAGAUUUCCUGCCAAGGCAGCUGCCUCCCUCCCUGCAGCAGCUGCACCGGGAGUUGGACCAACCUCAGCUCCCCGCUGCAGCCUGGCGCUGCGAGCUGCUGCUGUCAAAGGGGAGGAGGUGAGACCCACAUCCGGAUGCUGUGUGGGCAGCAGAACAUGCAGUUCUCUGUGCUCCUCUCCUUUCUGAAGGGACAGGCUUGGAAGCUGCCUGCUGCCCUGAGGUGAGUGCAGGACAGCAGAAGGAACCCCCUGUAUCUUCCUUGAGUCUGAGUGGCAUCAUAGUCUGUUCUGGGCAGACAUGGUGCAUGGUCAAUUGUUUGCUCAAAAGGAGUCUGCCACAGUUUCAGAAAUGGUCCCACUCACAUCUGCUACUCAGCUUUACAACCUGAGCAUGGUCUUUUUGCUGCAGUGAGACAGACUGAAGGGAAGUCAGGACGAGUUGGGCACAUUACCUAGUCAGAUAUUCUCAUGUGUAUCAUCUUAAAACCGAGACAAAAGCAAUAGUCACCCACAUCCAAACUUAAGCCAGUCUUGUUUCCUUUUGAUUCACUAUUGGUAUGUGUGAAACACAGAGUAAAAAGGAGUGAGUAAAAGCUGUGUACCUGGAGGAAAUAUGUCUACACGCAGUGUAAGUCCUUUUACAGGCUCUUGUGCAGGAGGCUGACCUUACUGGUAACCCAUGCUCUCCAGUAUAUCUGCAAUAUGUCUGUAGGGUUUUUCAAUCACCCUCUUAGGGCAGGAGCAGGGAAGUUGCGCUGACAGCAUGCAGACCAAAUUAGCUCUCAUCCAUAAUGUGUCUAUGGGGCUGAGGGUGAGCUCUGCUCCACUUUGCCACCAGAAGCCCAGCCACAUCAUUCUCACUCCAAAGAGAUGGUUGCUCCCUUGGAGCAGGCAGCCAAGCAGAAGUUGGCUCUACCAAAAUGGAGUUCUGAGCCAAGAAGGGGAAGGAAAAGGCAAGGUUCAGCAGAUAGAUGUCAGUCACAGCCCUGGCUGUUAACCCAGGUGCAGACCUAGGCUUCUAAGUGUGUUGCUGCGCUCAGCUGGCAGGGCAGUAGCCAAGUGGUGACUCACUGAAGACCUGUGUUGACCACAAAUCUAUGAGUUUGGUUUCUUUACCUGAGAUUCAUACAGAAACAGCAACCUCCGCUUCAUCUUGAAAUGUAGUUUUCGUCAGCAAAGAGAUCUCUAGAAUGUCAAUGGAAGACAAUUUGCCCCACGCAUCUCUGAGGUGCCACUGGCCCUCCCCAUGUGCCUCAUACCGCCAUCAGGGAGGAAGCAGUACAACCACUGCUGGGUUUCUGGUGAAGGCGUGCAGCCCCAUGUUUUUCAAGGUUUGUUAGUUUAUUUGUUUUCCUUAGGAAGUAUCCACCCUAAAAGUGCAGUCAGAGGUAUCACUUCGCUCAUGCCUCUCCUCGAGACAUGCGCUCUGUGGGAUGGCUUCCAGACACUUAGAAAUGAUCCUUCCAGAAGGACUCCUCCCAUCUAAAAGCAUCCCAGCCUCUUCUCUGCUGUGGUAACAUCUGGCUAUGCCCAGAGAUAGCAUGGUUCACAUUCAUAAUGGGGCUUUUCCUGGGCGUAUGCCCUGUAGUCUGGGCAAGUAAUGCUGACCAAAGCAAAGCUGCUGCUGAACCGCAGAGGUUCCAAUGCACAACUUGUAUGGUGUGCUUCUGCUUGACUGAACAGUUUUGCAUAAAACUGUGCUUCUCUUCACUCAGCUAAAACGCCAAAAUGUGCAGAGCACUACAUAGAAAUCCCCACUCAGCACAGUGGAAGCAUGAUUUGGGUUUCCACAGUGCUGACUCGUGCAUCUGCUGGGCUGUCAUCUCUACCCAACACCUCUUGUUCCAGAGCUGGCUGGGACUCGCAUGGGUCCAGCGUGUUUUUUGGCUAAUUGAUACAGUCAGGGCUAAUUAGUGCAGUCAGAGAAUGCCAGGCCAGCUCUGGUGUGAGCACUUCUGUCAGAUGCCAUGUAAGACAAGAUACCUCCAAAAGAGCAGUGCUACCAAGCCAACAGCAAGGCCUGCUGUGGUACCUCUCACUCAGAGCUAUUUUUUCUCUCCAUGUGCUGGUAUGCACCCUGACCAACUGAGGUCUUCACAUCCCAUCUGCCCCCACUGGCUGCCUGGGUAUCUAUUCCUGUUUUCAGGGAUCCUGCAGCACAGGUUCAGGAGGGGCUUGUAAGCAAGGCCAGCAUGUAACAGUGGUCCCUUAUUUUCUCCUUUCUGUACAGGAAAAAGCAAACGAAACAAAAACGGGCUGUUGUAGAGCAGCAAGGGAAUAAUGCCUGAAACUCCUACCUGUUUGCUGACCCAUGUUUGGAGAGUAAAAGCAUUGGAACCAAAGAGGGGAAGCAAGGUCCAGGUGAAGUGUGUUCCCCUUUAAAUACAGCUGGUUGAGUCCUCAGGCUCCCCUUCUCCUCAUCCUCUGGGACAGGAUCAAGGAGCAAUUUGGGAUGCUACUGCAGCUCUACAAGUAGGUUAACAGUCCUGGAAAGGUUUCUCCCUGGUAGACAACAAGAGAAAAAUGUAGAGCUGGUUGAGAACUGAAGACCAAAAGGCACAACCUGCACCCUGCAAACUAUGGUGACUGUGGUAACUCAGAUGUGCUGAGCAGGGUCUGAAAUAGACAGAGAAACUGAGCAGAGCUGUGGGUCUCCACUCACCUCUCUAUUUCCUUGCAGCACCCCCAGUAAUCCAGCAGCAAUACCAGCACAGCAUGCCCAGUCUCUUCUUGAUUUCAGAGGCCCACCAACCCUCUCUGAAGCCUGGCGCCAUGGAGAAAUAGCCACAGUCUGACUCAUUCAUGAACCUGAACGUUGAUGCUGGGCUUACCAACUGCUUGCUGUGGAGGCUGGUUCCAAAAAACGAAAUGAAUCACCACCUGAGAUUCGUAACAAAGAACAACUGCAUCUCCUACUGGCAGGCUGGAAAUCUGCCGUGUCAAGUGACAUGAGAAGACUCAGAGGCUCUCUCUGCUGGGUCUUGCUUCAGAGGCUUCUCCUUCCCUCUGAAACAAGUGGAGGAGAACAAAGACACAGGGUGGUCACACUCCAGGCAAAGCUUUGGGGGAAGAGAUGGCUGCAGUCAGCACUAAGCAUCCCAGAUGCACUGUUUAGGCUCAUAAACUGUGUGAGGGUUGGCAUUCACCCCUCAGAGAAAUUGUUUAUAGAUACUUUUAUUGUGUCUUCAAAGUGAAAGUCAAAUAUAUCAUAGGAGGCUUAGGGCAAUAAAAAAGAUGUUUGAGAUCCCA
Non-coding RNA from Coturnix japonica (Japanese quail), 7696 nucleotides. The record is from RefSeq and is a predicted model, not a curated record. Lineage: Eukaryota; Metazoa; Chordata; Aves; Galliformes; Phasianidae.